This 1032-nucleotide ribosomal RNA is filed under the name Cellulosimicrobium sp. 6G18. Its description in RNAcentral is "bacterial SSU rRNA". It matches the Rfam family "Bacterial small subunit ribosomal RNA", at positions 50 to 1094 of the family's 1533-position model. The record is from RNAcentral. Lineage: Bacteria; Bacillati; Actinomycetota; Actinomycetes; Micrococcales; Promicromonosporaceae.
UACACAUGCAAGUCGAACGAUGAUGCCCAGCUUGCUGGGCGGAUUAGUGGCGAACGGGUGAGUAACACGUGAGUAACCUGCCCUUGACUUCGGGAUAACUCCGGGAAACCGGGGCUAAUACCGGAUAUGAGCCGUCCUCGCAUGGGGGUGGUUGGAAAGUUUUUCGGUCAGGGAUGGGCUCGCGGCCUAUCAGCUUGUUGGUGGGGUGAUGGCCUACCAAGGCGACGACGGGUAGCCGGCCUGAGAGGGCGACCGGCCACACUGGGACUGAGACACGGCCCAGACUCCUACGGGAGGCAGCAGUGGGGAAUAUUGCACAAUGGGCGAAAGCCUGAUGCAGCGACGCCGCGUGAGGGAUGAAGGCCUUCGGGUUGUAAACCUCUUUCAGCAGGGAAGAAGCGCAAGUGACGGUACCUGCAGAAGAAGCGCCGGCUAACUACGUGCCAGCAGCCGCGGUAAUACGUAGGGCGCAAGCGUUGUCCGGAAUUAUUGGGCGUAAAGAGCUCGUAGGCGGUUUGUCGCGUCUGGUGUGAAAACUCGAGGCUCAACCUCGAGCUUGCAUCGGGUACGGGCAGACUAGAGUGCGGUAGGGGAGACUGGAAUUCCUGGUGUAGCGGUGGAAUGCGCAGAUAUCAGGAGGAACACCGAUGGCGAAGGCAGGUCUCUGGGCCGCAACUGACGCUGAGGAGCGAAAGCAUGGGGAGCGAACAGGAUUAGAUACCCUGGUAGUCCAUGCCGUAAACGUUGGGCACUAGGUGUGGGGCUCAUUCCACGAGUUCCGUGCCGCAGCAAACGCAUUAAGUGCCCCGCCUGGGGAGUACGGCCGCAAGGCUAAAACUCAAAGGAAUUGACGGGGGCCCGCACAAGCGGCGGAGCAUGCGGAUUAAUUCGAUGCAACGCGAAGAACCUUACCAAGGCUUGACAUGCACGAGAAGCCGCCAGAGAUGGUGGUCUCUUUGGACACUCGUGCACAGGUGGUGCAUGAUUGUCGUCAGCUCGUGUCGUGAGAUGUUGGGUUAAGUCCCGCAAACG